This 379-nucleotide unclassified non-coding RNA is filed under the name uncultured bacterium. Its description in RNAcentral is "contains 16S-23S intergenic spacer region". The record is from RNAcentral.
UCCGGUUUGACACCGGCAGUCUCCCUAGAGUGCCCGGCUUUACCCGCUGGUAACUAGGGACGAGGGUUGCGCUCGUUGCGGGACUUAACCCAACAUCUCACGACACGAGCUGACGACAGCCAUGCAGCACCUGUGCACGGACUCCGAAGAGGGGCCGAUGUUUCCACGACAUUCCAGUGCAUGUCAAGCCCGGGUAAGGUUCUUCGCGUUGCGUCGAAUUAAACCACACGCUCCGCUGCUUGUGCGGGCCCCCGUCAAUUUCUUUGAGUUUUAAUCUUGCGACCGUACUUCCCAGGCGGCGCAUUUAUCGCGUUAGCUUCGCCACAAACGGGGUCGAUUCCGUUUACAGCAAAUGCGCACCGUUUACAGCCAAGACUAC